Molecule: small nuclear RNA, 187 nt
Filed under: Trifolium pratense (red clover)
Lineage: Eukaryota; Viridiplantae; Streptophyta; Magnoliopsida; Fabales; Fabaceae
Description: snRNA U2
Rfam family: U2 spliceosomal RNA
About the family: U2 is a small nuclear RNA (snRNA) component of the spliceosome (involved in pre-mRNA splicing). Complementary binding between U2 snRNA (in an area lying towards the 5' end but 3' to hairpin I) and the branchpoint sequence (BPS) of the intron results the bulging out of an unpaired adenosine, on the BPS, which initiates a nucleophilic attack at the intronic 5' splice site, thus starting the first of two transesterification reactions that mediate splicing.
Source: RNAcentral
AUUAAUUCUCGAUCUUUUAGCUAAGAUCAAGUAUAGUAUUUGGUCUUAUCAGUUUAAUAUCUGAUAUGUGGCUCACACGAUAUUAAAUUACUUUUUAGGGUAGGGUUGGGCCACUACAGUAGCUUGCUACUGGGCUUUUCGAGAGUCGUUGAUGCGUUGCAUUAUUGUUUGGGCUGGCGCACCCCAC